This 498-nucleotide ribosomal RNA is filed under the name Dactylella atractoides. RNAcentral's name for it is "SSU rRNA". It matches the Rfam family "Eukaryotic small subunit ribosomal RNA", at positions 67 to 554 of the family's 1831-position model. Lineage: Eukaryota; Fungi; Ascomycota; Orbiliomycetes; Orbiliales; Orbiliaceae. The record is from RNAcentral.
GGGCCAUUCUGGUGCAGCAGCCUGUAUACAGUGAAACUGCAAAUGGCUCAUUAAAUCAGUUAUCGUUUAUUUGAUAAUACCUUACUACUUGGAUAACCGUGGUAAUUCUAGAGCUAAUACAUGCUAAAAAUCCCGACUUCGGAAGGGAUGUAUUUAUUAGAUAAAAAACCAAUGUCUUCGGACUCCUUGGUGAUUCAUAAUAACUUAACGAAUCGCAUGGCCUUGCGCCGGCGAUGGUUCAUUCAAAUUUCUGCCCUAUCAACUUUCGAUGGUAGGAUAGUGGCCUACCAUGGUUUCAACGGGUAACGGGGAAUUAGGGUUCUAUUCCGGAGAGGGAGCCUGAGAAACGGCUACCACAUCCAAGGAAGGCAGCAGGCGCGCAAAUUACCCAAUCCCAAUUCGGGGAGGUAGUGACAAUAAAUACUGAUACAGGGCUCUUUUGGGUCUUGUAAUUGGAAUGAGUACAAUUUAAAUCCCUUAACGAGGAACAAUUGGAGG